ACUGGGUUAAUCUAACAAGACAGUCAGUGGAUACGAGAUCGUAAGUAUAAAGCAGUAUUGAAGGUUAACAGUUUGGGUUGUACGGGGUUCUCUGUAACGUCAAGAGACCUACCGGCUGGGGCAAAAAAGACUUCGACAAGCAGUCGAAGAGCACCCGUAUAGAUUUACGAUACAUUGUUGCAGUCGUUUAUAUUCCAGCAGUCAAAAACUGAUAGACUGCUUGACUAUCGGCGAAUCUCCAUACUACCUUCUACAGCCAGACGCCCGGCGCGUUCUCGAGCAGGAAAGCACGUAAUACGACAUAAGUGGUGAACCCGACGUGAAAGCUUGAGGUAGAAGGUAUUGGAUUUCGGUUGAUUUUAUCUUUAUUUUUUAUGGAAAACGAAAAUAAAAAUUUUGAAGGAUUUUUGGGAGAAAUUUCUGGUGGGGAGUCUUCUAAAGGACAAGGUAUGCACAUGGAUCCGUCUAUUGCUAGUUUGUUUCAAGCCUUCUCAUUGUCAAUGCAGCAACAACAAAGCAAUGAUCGAAAGGAAGCUUUGGCAACCAAAGCAUUGCAAGCAAUGGUCAAUAAAAUUGAUCAAUUUGAUGGGAGGAAUAUUUCAAGGUAUUUAAGAUGUUAUGUUCGUGAAAUGGAAUUAAAUCGGGUUUCUGAGAAGAAAAUGGUUGCACUAUUUGGACUUGCCACGAUACCGGAGAUAAGGGACCACAUUACAUCGAUUACGGAUCGUUGUGGAAAUUCAUGGGAGGAUUUUUCACAUGCAUUGAAAGACGAAUAUUUCUUGGAAGAUGCUGAUUGCGUUACUAAGAAGCUGUUUCUGGGAUGGAUUGAACGGCCCAAUAAGAAUUUGCAAGCAACAGAGCUACUAAGGGAAUUUGAGAGGCAGUACUCUCAAUUAUCGAAGGUAGAAAAAUUGACAUUGGAACCGAACAAAGUUGAUCUAUUUCUUCAAGCUGCUGAUGGAGAAUUGCAAGAGAAAUUAGAACCCCUUCUUGAAGACAAAGAAGAAGAUGAAGGAUUGACAACGAAGUGGAAGAACGUUGAAGAUGCGGUGGGGUUGCUUACAAAAAAAGAAAGGAGGAAGGAUAGGAGUAAUAUUCCGAAACCAGUACAAGCACCCAAAGCUCCAGUAUGUACUACACCACCGACAAUGCCUACAGUUCAACCUUCGACAUCCUUAUCAAAGAAAGCAGAUAUGGGGAUGGAAGAAAUUAUACGAGGAAUGCGAGAUCUUCAAAUCAAAUUGGCAAGACUUGAAGAGAAUACUUCUAUAAACAAUUCGAAGAAUGUUUCAAAACAAGGAUAUGUACAAAGAUGCAUUUGGUGUGAUGAUGCUUCACACACUAGAAAAGAUUGCAAUGAAUUUAAUAAUAUGAUACGGCAGGGAAUUAUUUGCUGGAAAGAUGGGAAGAUAGCAUUGAAAGAUAGGGAGGAUCUUCUUCAAACCAAUUUUGGCAAAGGAGGAAUGAGAGCAUUGGUUCAAGAUUACUUAAAAGGGCAUGAAACAGUAGCACGAGAAAGUGCAAGUUAUGGUGCUAGAGUAGAUGAUGAAAUUGGUGGAAGUACGGAAACUAGUGAGUUUUGGGCUUCUGCCGUUUCUACAAUGCAAGAAGAGAAAUUACCUCGAGAAGUGUUAUUGAGAACAGCAGCUACAAUACGAGGAAGAACAGGUUGGGAGGAUCCCGUUGAGUCUCUUUCAGUUCAUGCAUAUAUUGCUAAGAGCCAACAUGAAGCUUUGAUGGAAGAGAAAAGACGAAGAAAUUUUGAUGAUACUAGAGAAGGAAAUUCUUUUAAGAGGCAAACUGGAGGAGACAAGGCUCGGGAAGCAGCUUCACAAGAAUUGCCUGUAAAGGAUACCUCAGCAUCAUUGGGAGAAAAAACAACGGAGACAAAAGAUAAGGGCAAAUCAAUUGCUUAUAAGCUACUUUCUGACAUUGAAGCAGCAACAAAUUUGAAAGGGGUGUUGGAAGAACGUAUAUUAAACGCUAAGGUGGAAUUCACAUUGAAAGAAGUCUUGGGAAUUGCAAAGAAGGAGUUUCAUGAUGUUAUCAUUGACAGCAUUAAGCGAAAGAGGCAAUUAAUGAGCGAAACUGGAAUGAGUCAUGCUAUUGACGCAAGAAUAUGUAGAGAUGAAGAAGAGGUUGAUAUUGGUUACAAGCAACCAAUAAAUGAAAAGAAUGGGUAUAAUCAGCGAGUACGUUUUGAAGAUUCUAGUGACAAGGAAAUGGAAACUUUGAGCCAUUAUACUCGAAAGCAUUGGGCAAGGGCAACUACUGAGGUAUUGGUGAAGGUAGGAGAUAUAGAAGAACCAAUAGUUGCUAUGGUGGACCAUGGUUCUGAAAUAAAUCUCAUGUCUAAAGAUCUUUAUAAGAAGCAAAAAUGGCCAAUUGAUAUGGAACAUGGAUGGGCAAUAUGAGCAGCUAAUAACACACGAGGCGAAUUAUAUGGAGCUUGUCCAGAUGUCAAAAUUCGGAUUGGGGAUGUUGCGACGGAGCAACAUUUCUUCGUUCAAGAUACAACGUCUUAUCCGUUGAUUUUAGGACAACCUUAUAUCACGGCAACACGGAUGGAAACAAAGGUACUUGACGAUGGUUCUGCUUAUGCAAGGGUACGGAGCGAAGAUGGGAGGAAAGCUGUACAAUUUCUAACAGUACCUCCUAACCAUGAACGGAAUCGAGAUAGGUUGAGGGAGAAACCAUUGCCAAAGAUUGUUGAAGGAUUUAAGGAUUUUAGAGAGGUACCACUGUAAAGCGAGAUUAUGGAGGUACAAAAGAGGAGGUACUCUCGCGAGAUGAAGGUGCCUUUGAUGCGAGUUUUAUUGGUAUAUUGGAAAAUGGAAAUAUUAUGUAUAAGAAAGUUGAAGAUUUUAAAAGAAAAGAAAGAAAAAGAUUAUAUGAUAUUGAAGGACAGUUACGCAAGAUAGGUACAUUGUAAGAUGAUGAGAGGAUUUUGGGUGUUUAUGAAGAAAAUGGGCUGGAAGAUUCAUUGGAAUUGAUUACAUCUAUUGGGUUAGGGGAUAAUGAUAAGAUUGUUGAAAUUCAUUCGAGAGAGGUUUAUACCAUGCUUGAAUCUUUUCAAGCACCAGAAGUCACAGUAGAGACGAGAUAUAAAACGGCAGAUAAGAAGGUAAAGCCUGUUGCCGGACCAUUACAAGAGGAUUCUAAAGAACAAAUGGGAGAAGCAUCAAAAGAAGCAAGUUUAAGAGAUCCAAUGAGUAUUGGACAUCAGUUUACUGAAGAGACUUUUGAAGAAUUGAAGAUUGGUUCUGAUGGUUCUUUAUUGCCGGAGGAAAUUACUUGCUUCAAAAAGAUGUUGGCUAAACAAGGUAGAUCGUUUGCCUUCGAAUCUCAUGAAAUUGGGUGUGUGGAUCCAAAUAUUAUAACACCUAUGGUUAUCUUCACUGUACCGCAUGUACCUUGGAAUCUAAGAUCGAUUCCAGUACCGAGGGCACAUUUACCUAAAUUGGUGGAACUGUUGAAAGAAAAGAUAAAGAUGAAAAUAUUAAAACCUUCAUUUGCGCCGUAUGCUAGUCGAUGGUUUACGGUACCUAAGAAGAAUGGGUCAUUGCGGUUUAUUCAAGAUAUGCAGCCGGUGAAUGCUGUAACUGUCAGGAAUGCAGGAAUUGGACCUAUUGUGGAUGAAUUUGCUGAGGCGUUUGCUGGAAGGGCGAUCUAUUCAAUGGGUGAUUUGUAUUCAGGUUAUGAUCAAUUUCAACUUGUCGAAGGAAGUAGAGAUAUGACAACGAUGAGGACACCGCUUGGGUUGGUUAGAAUGUGCACUCUUCCUCAAGGCGCGACCAACUCAGUUGCGCAUAUGAUGAAUGGGAUGAAUAAGGUAUUGAGAGAUUUUAUCCCGGAAAAGACUAUGCCUUUUCUGGAUGAUGUUCCUAUAAAAGGGUGCAAAGAAGGAGACAAGGAUGAAACUUUAGAUACGAGGGGGUGUCGCAGAUAUGUUGUUGAUCAUAUACAAGAUUGUGAAAAGAUUUUAACUCGGCUUGGAGAAGUUCAUCUUACAUUAUCGGGUAUGAAGUCCGUAUUUGGAGUGCGAGAGGUUGUAAUUGUUGGACAUUUAUGCGGAUCUUACGGAAGAAAACCAGAUCCGACUAAAGUUGAUGCAAUUGGAAGGAUGAAAGAGGAUUGUGGUUCUUUAACAGAGGUUCGCAGGUUUUUGGGUGCAUGUGUAUUUUAUCGAAUCUGGAUCCCUCAUUUUGCUCACAUAGCGGAUCCAUUAUAUGAAUUGUUACGCAAGGGUUACCGAUUUGAAUGGGAAGAAAGGCAUAUUCAGGCAAUGCAAAGAUUGAAGAAAUUAUUGAUGUCACCUCCAAUAUUGAGGAAGGUUGAUUAUAAGUGCAAUAGACCAGUGAUUCUUACUGUAGACGCUAGUCCAUUUGCCAUUGGAUGGGCGGUGGGUCAAGAUGAUUCGAAUGGGAGUAGAUUUGCAGUUCGAUUUGGGGCUAAAGUUUUAAGUAUUCGUCAGCGUGCAUAUUCGCAAGUCAAAAGAGAACUUUGGGGAGUCGUUUCGGCUAUGAAAGCUGAAAAGGACUAUUUGAUUGGGGCAGUAGUAGUAAUUGAAACAGAUUGCUUGCCAUUGCUUGGAAUGAUUAUUAACUGUUCAAUGCCAGAUAUUGCAAUGUUGAGAUGGAUUGCUUAUAUUAAGUCACUAAAUCCAGAAUUUAAGCAUAUCACUGGAAAGGACAAUUUAGUAGCAGACAUGCUAUCUCGAGCAAGAUACGAGAGGGAGGACGAAAUGGUUGAAGACAUUGAUGAUGUCGGAUUGAAAUUCUAUUCAAUAUCAAAUCUCAACAGAGAAGACAAGCUAUUUCUUGAAGAAUCUUAUGAAGGAGAAUUAUUGGAUAUUGGUCAUUAUUUGAAUACCUUGUCUAAGUAGGGGAAUUGGUCUACAGAAAAAUUCAAACAAAUAAGAAAAAAAGCAUAUGGAUUUUUACUUCGAGAUGGAUUCUUAUGGAAGAGACCGAAGAAAGGAAUUGGGAUGCCACAACGAGUGAUAGGAAAAAGGAAAGAAAAACUAAAAUUAUUAAAGGGGUUUCAUGAUAGUUUAUGGACAGGGCAUAGAGGAAUCUGGGCUACUUUUGCUAAACUCAAGGAACGAUAUUGGUGGAAAAAUAUGUAUCGAGAUGUGCUCUCAUUUGUAGAGUCAUGUGAAAUCUGUCAAUCGUAUUCUAAUAUCCGACAUCGAGAUGGUCUUCAUCCUACGUAUCCUCUGGCUAUUCAUUUUAAAUGGGUUGUUGAUUUGGUUAUUAUGCUGGUUGGAUUAUGGCAGAUGAGAUAUUUGGUUUUAGCUCGUGAAGAUUUAUCAAAUCAAGUAGAAGGAAGAGCAUUGAGGACAAAAUCUACAGAGGGGAUUUGUAGGUUUUUGCUUGAAGAUGUCAUUUGCCGUUACGGGUGCGUAGGAAAAAUCACUGCAGAUCGUGGAGAAUUAAAUGCACAAGAAGCUCGUAAGUUCUUUGAAAAAUGUGGAGUUAAACUAUCACUGACUACUGCUUAUAAUCCGGAAGGGAAUGCGAAAAGCGAACGCGGUCACCCGCCGAUUGUGAAAGCAUUGGUUAAAGCUUGUAAUGGGAAAGUUAAAGAGUGGCCACGGCUUUUGUCAUUUGCAUUAUGGGCUGAUCGAACAACACAUAGUUCGGUGACAGGAUAUAUGCUAGUAGAACUUAUGACAGGUCAAAAACCAAUUAUGCCGAUUGAAGAAAAGGUACUUACUUGGAGUAUGCUACCAUGGGAAGAUGGAUUGACAAGAGAAGAACUUCUAGCCAUUAGGAUUCGACAAUUGGAGCAAAGAACGGAAGAUGUCCAGAUAGCAUUGGAAAGGUUAAAAAGAGCAAGGUUACAAAACAAGGCGCGAUUCGAUAAGCAACAUCGAUUGAGACCAAAAGCAAUCGAGGAAGGUGACUGGAUACUUGUUUAUGACAAUAGUCUGGAUAAUCAACAUAGUACUUUGCGGAAAUUUUCAAAACGUUGGUUUGGACCAUAUGUUGUAACAACUGUUCAUGAUAAUGCGACUUACUCAUUACGGGAGUUAGAUGGUACAAAAUUGAAAAUACCAAUUGCAAGGAAGAGAGUAAAAAUAUUUAAACGAAGACACGCAGAGAUGAAUAUGGAAGACCUUAAUGAAGGUACAGAGAUUCCGCAGCAAGAAGAUGAAAGUGAUAUGGAUAAUGAAGGUGACGAAGACAAACUGGACAAAGACGUAGGGGAUAUAUUCUGAAUCAAACAGCAAUUGGGUAAAUUGGUGCAUACCGGAGGAUGCACAGGUUCAGAGGGGGUGGAUGUCGUGUUGUAACACGAGUAUACAGUGAAAAUAAAAAGAAAGGGGAAUUUUAUUAAUAUUCAGUUACCUCGAAUAUUGGGAGCAUCGACCAACUCCAGUACAAAUACUGAGUGGUCAGGUUCAGUGACUCCGUUACAGUCAGCCGGGGCAUACUGGAAUGUCCCAUUCGAUUCCAAUAACGGGAGUCAGCAGGAAGAGAAGGACCAAUUCACACGACGGAUUCGAGGAGCCAAUUGGAUCCAAUUUCGAGAAUCUAAUCCGGGUCCUCUUACCCAAUAUGAGACCUGUAUUGGUGGGGCAACCCAAUGCAGUCUAGUUACGGGAAAUCCAGGUCUUACUACGGGUCUUAGCCAAUCUGACGCGAGGACCAAUUUGACCCAAUUACGGGAACAUCCAGGUUACUACGGGCAUCUCUCCCAAUAUAGGACCUGAAUUGGUCGGGCGACUCAAUGUGGUCCCGAUUACGGGGUUCGAUUCUGUUUCAGGCUGUCCUGUUCUCUGUGCCGUUUCAGGGAACGUUGUUUUCGGUAAAUGGAUUUCUUAAAGGUAAAAACGGAGGAGAAAGUUUGACGGCGAGAGCCAAUUUCGGAUCCAAGCUUGAGGUGGGAGCCAAUUCCGGAUCUAAGACGGAAGAUUGAAGAAAUUCAGAGGAUAAGGUUAGGGGGGAUAUAGUUUUGGAGUGGUGUGGGUUUUUAUUUUGGAUGGGAGGUUUUUGAAGAUCAAGGGAAUUAGAGAGAGGAGCUUCAUGCUUCGGGUCGGGGAAGGAAAGACAUAGGAUUUGGAUUUUUCUUCUUCGUAGAGUUUUGGGGAAGACUGAGGCAAUCGCUGCUGAAGUCAGUGUUGUAAUGGUGAAUCGAGAUUUUUAAAUGAAGUGGUUUUGAAUACUCUUGACUGUUUUGUGAAAUCGAGUUACGUCUGUGAUUGAAGGAUUAAAAGGGUGUCUAUAGGAUUGAGUAUGCGGAGUGAAUGAAAUUUACUGGGUUAAUCUAACAAGACAGUCAGUGGAUACGAGAUCGUAAGUACAAAGCAGUAUUGAAGGUUAACAGUUUGGGUUGUUCGAGGUUCUCUGUAACGUCAAGAGACCUACCGGCUGGGGCAAAAAGGACUUCGACAAGCAGUCGAAGAGCACCCGUAUAGAUUUACGAUACAUUGUUGCAGUCGUUUAUAUUCCAGCAGUCAAAAACUGAUAGACUGCUUGA
This 7485-nucleotide long non-coding RNA is filed under the name Physcomitrium patens. RNAcentral's name for it is "long non-coding RNA (PPAT_LNC000674)". Lineage: Eukaryota; Viridiplantae; Streptophyta; Bryopsida; Funariales; Funariaceae. The record is from RNAcentral.